CGUUAGCGACAGAAGAAGCACCGGCUAACUCCGUGCCAGCAGCCGCGGUAAUACGGAGGGUGCGAGCGUUAAUCGGAAUUACUGGGCGUAAAGCGCAUGCAGGUGGUUUGUUAAGUCAGAUGUGAAAGCCCGGGGCUCAACCUCGGAAUUGCAUUUGAAACUGGCAGACUAGAGUACUGUAGAGGGGGGGGUAGAAUUUCAGGUGUAGCGGUGAAAUGCGUAGAGAUUCUGAAGGAAUACCCGGUGGCGAAAGGCGGCCCCCUGGGACAGAUACUGACACUCAGAUGCGAAAGCGUGGGGGAGCAAACAGGAUUAGAUACCCUGGUAGUCCACGCCGUAAACGAUGUCUACCUUGGAAGGUUGUGGCCCUUGAGCCCGUGGCCUUUCGGAGCUAACGCGUUAAGUAGACCGCCUGGGGAGUACGGUCGCAAGAUUAAAACUCAAAUGAAUUGACGGGGGCCCGCACAAGCGGUGGAGCAUGUGGUUUAAUUCGAUGCAACGCGAAGAACCUUACCUACUCUUGACAUCCAGAGAACUUUCCAGAGAUGGAUUGGUGCCUUCGGGAACUCUGAGACAGGUGCUGCAUGGCUGUCGUCAGCUCGUGUUGUGAAAUGUUGGGUUAAGUCCCGCAACGAGCGCAACCCUUAUCCUUGUUUGCCAGCGAGUAAUGUCGGGAACUCCAGGGAGACUGCCGGUGAUAAACCGGAGGAAGGUGGGGACGACGUCAAGUCAUCAUGGCCCUUACGAGUAGGGCUACACACGUGCUACAAUGGCGCAUACAGAGGGCAGCCAACUUGCGAAAGUGAGCGAAUCCCAAAAAGUGCGUCGUAGUCCGGAUUGGAGUCUGCAACUCGACUCCAUGAAGUCGGAAUCGCUAGUAAUCGUGGUUCAGAAU
This 895-nucleotide ribosomal RNA is filed under the name Vibrio parahaemolyticus. RNAcentral's name for it is "bacterial SSU rRNA". It matches the Rfam family "Bacterial small subunit ribosomal RNA", at positions 473 to 1355 of the family's 1533-position model. The record is from RNAcentral. Lineage: Bacteria; Pseudomonadati; Pseudomonadota; Gammaproteobacteria; Vibrionales; Vibrionaceae.